CGGGUGAUUAACACGUGAGGAACCUGCCUCUGACUCUGGGAUAAGCGCUGGAAACGGCGUCUAAUACUGGAUAUGUCCCGUCACCGCAUGGUGUGCGGGUGGAAAGAUUUUUCGGUUGGGGAUGGGCUCGCGGCCUAUCAGCUUGUUGGUGAGGUAAUGGCUCACCAAGGCGUCGACGGGUAGCCGGCCUGAGAGGGUGACCGGCCACACUGGGACUGAGACACGGCCCAGACUCCUACGGGAGGCAGCAGUGGGGAAUAUUGCACAAUGGGCGGAAGCCUGAUGCAGCAACGCCGCGUGAGGGAUGACCGGCCUUCGGGUUGUAAACCUCUUUUGCAGGGAAGAAGCGAGAGUGACGGUACCUGCAGAAAAAGCACCGGCUAACUACGUGCCAGCAGCCGCGGUAAUACGUAGGGUGCAAGCGUUAUCCGGAAUUAUUGGGCGUAAAGAGCUCGUAGGCGGUCUGUCGCGUCUGCUGUGAAAUUCCGAGGCUCAACCUCGGGCUUGCAGUGGGUACGGGCAGACUAGAGUGCGGUAGGGGAGAUUGGAAUUCCUGGUGUAGCGGUGGAAUGCGCAGAUAUCAGGAGGAACACCGAUGGCGAAGGCAGAUCUCUGGGCCGUAACUGACGCUGAGGAGCGAAAGGGUGGGGAGCAAACAGGCUUAGAUACCCUGGUAGUCCACCCCGUAAACGUUGGGAACUAGUUGUGGGGUCCUUUCCACGGAUUCCGUGACGCAGCUAACGCAUUAAGUUCCCCGCCUGGGGAGUACGGCCGCAAGGCUAAAACUCAAAGGAAUUGACGGGGACCCGCACAAGCGGCGGAGCAUGCGGAUUAAUUCGAUGCAACGCGAAGAACCUUACCAAGGCUUGACAUACACGAGAACGGGCCAGAAAUGGUCAACUCUUUGGACACUCGUGAACAGGUGGUGCAUGGUUGUCGUCAGCUCGUGUCGUGAGAUGUUGGGUUAAGUCCCGCAACGAGCGCAACCCUCGUUCUAUGUUGCCAGCACGUAAUGGUGGGAACUCAUGGGAUACUGCCGGGGUCAACUCGGAGGAAGGUGGGGAUGACGUCAAAUCAUCAUGCCCCUUAUGUCUUGGGCUUCACGCAUGCUACAAUGGCCGGUACAAUGGGCUGCGAUACCGUAAGGUGGAGCGAAUCCCAAAAAGCCGGUCCCAGUUCGGAUUGAGGUCUGCAACUCGACCUCAUGAAGUCGGAGUCGCUAGUAAUCGCAGAUCAGCAACGCUGCGGUGAAUACGUUCCCUUGUGUUGUACACCCCGCCUCGUCUAAGU
RNAcentral lists this ribosomal RNA (1290 nucleotides) under Microbacterium esteraromaticum. Its description in RNAcentral is "bacterial SSU rRNA". It matches the Rfam family "Bacterial small subunit ribosomal RNA", at positions 103 to 1403 of the family's 1533-position model. The record is from RNAcentral. Lineage: Bacteria; Bacillati; Actinomycetota; Actinomycetes; Micrococcales; Microbacteriaceae.